RNAcentral lists this ribosomal RNA (938 nucleotides) under Arthrobacter sp. Its description in RNAcentral is "bacterial SSU rRNA". It matches the Rfam family "Bacterial small subunit ribosomal RNA", at positions 553 to 1488 of the family's 1533-position model. Lineage: Bacteria; Bacillati; Actinomycetota; Actinomycetes; Micrococcales; Micrococcaceae. The record is from RNAcentral.
AUUGGGCGUAAGAGCUCGUAGGCGGUUUGUCGCGUCUGCCGUGAAAGUCCGGGGCUCAACUCCGGAUCUGCGGUGGGUACGGGCAGACUAGAGUGAUGUAGGGGAGACUGGAAUUCCUGGUGUAGCGGUGAAAUGCGCAGAUAUCAGGAGGAACACCGAUGGCGAAGGCAGGUCUCUGGGCAUUAACUGACGCUGAGGAGCGAAAGCAUGGGGAGCGAACAGGAUUAGAUACCCUGGUAGUCCAUGCCGUAAACGUUGGGCACUAGGUGUGGGGGACAUUCCACGUUUUCCGCGCCGUAGCUAACGCAUUAAGUGCCCCGCCUGGGGAGUACGGCCGCAAGGCUAAAACUCAAAGGAAUUGACGGGGGCCCGCACAAGCGGCGGAGCAUGCGGAUUAAUUCGAUGCAACGCGAAGAACCUUACCAAGGCUUGACAUGAACCAGACCGGGCUGGAAACAGUCCUUCCCCUUGUGGGUUGGUUUACAGGUGGUGCAUGGUUGUCGUCAGCUCGUGUCGUGAGAUGUUGGGUUAAGUCCCGCAACGAGCGCAACCCUCGUUCUAUGUUGCCAGCACGUGAUGGUGGGGACUCAUAGGAGACUGCCGGGGUCAACUCGGAGGAAGGUGGGGACGACGUCAAAUCAUCAUGCCCCUUAUGUCUUGGGCUUCACGCAUGCUACAAUGGCCGGUACAAAGGGUUGCGAUACUGUGAGGUGGAGCUAAUCCCAAAAAGCCGGUCUCAGUUCGGAUUGGGGUCUGCAACUCGACCCCAUGAAGUCGGAGUCGCUAGUAAUCGCAGAUCAGCAACGCUGCGGUGAAUACGUUCCCGGGCCUUGUACACACCGCCCGUCAAGUCACGAAAGUUGGUAACACCCGAAGCCGGUGGCCUAACCCCUUGUGGAGGGAGCUGUCGAAGUGGACUGGCGAUUGGGACGAAGUCG